This 487-nucleotide ribosomal RNA is filed under the name Varuna litterata. RNAcentral describes it as "partial 16S ribosomal RNA". The stretch from base 362 to 487 matches the Rfam family "Bacterial large subunit ribosomal RNA", at positions 2473 to 2598 of the family's 2925-position model. Lineage: Eukaryota; Metazoa; Arthropoda; Malacostraca; Decapoda; Varunidae. The record is from RNAcentral.
UAAUAAGAAGUUAAAUGGCCGCGGUAUUUUGACCGUGCAAAGGUAGCAUAAUCGUUAGUUUUUUAAUUGGAAUCUUGUAUGAAUGGUUGGACAAAAGAAAAUCUGUCUUUGUAUUAUUAAUUGAAUUUAACUUUUGAGUGAAAAGGCUUAAAUAAAUUGAAGUGACGAUAAGACCCUAUAAAACUUUAUAUAAACAUAUUAUUUGAUUGAAUUUAAAAUAAAAAUUUAAUAAUAAAAUUUAUUUUGUUGGGGCGAUAAAAGUAAAAUUUUUAUUAACUGCUUUAAGUUUUGAAUACAUUUAUGUUUGAUUAAAAUUUUUAGAUGAUCCUAAAUAAAGAUUAAAAGUUUAAGUUACUUUAGGGAUAACAGCGUUAUUUUUUUUGAGAGUACUUAUCGAAAAAAAAGUUUGCGACCUCGAUGUUGAAUUAAAAUUUCUUUAUAAUUGCAGUAGUUAUAAAAGUAGGUCUGUUCGACCUUUAAAAUUUUA